AUGGUUGUCAAGAGAAGCACAAAAAGCAUCCCAUUAGAACGGCUUCAGUCUUUUCUCUCUCUGAUUUCCUCUCCAGGUUCUCCCAACAGGACGAUAAACUCAUCUGGAAGGCAGAGGGCCUGCCCAUUCAUAAACCUGUUGAUGUGGUCCCCAGAGUACCAGUUUAAGAUGGCAAGACCAACACUGUUGAUUCUGGGGCCAGAACUGGGACAAGUCCUUGAUUUGUCUACACUAGCUGUAUACACCAUCUACCUCCUGAGAGGAUUCAUUUUUCUUCCUAUGCUCCAGGAUCUUUCAAGCCAUGGAGGAAUAUAGCCAGCCCAACACAGUUCAGAACCGCCUUCCUAUGUGAAAGCUGACAGUUUACAGGAGGGAGAGUCCUUGAAGGAUUGAAUGCAGCCUCUCUUGUGAGGUAUGUGGUCUCUUGGACUUCAUUGUGCUGGCAUCUCAUCAAGAAGAGAUGGUUACACAAACUCAUCUGCCGCUGGGGUCUCUGUGAUGGAGACUAAGGUGGAAUUAAAUCUUUCUGGCCACUCUAGGAGAGGCAAUCUGUGGAAAAGGCUGCCCAACCUCCCCCUCUCCUCUCCAGCUAAUCUCCCCAACCUACUUCUCUUUUACUAAGUAACUAUUCUCUUCUGUACAUGAACUCGUGGGUUAUCUACAAGCUUGUUUUCUAUUGUCAUUGUUGUUUGCCUUUGCUUUGUUCUGAUUUUAAUGAGGUCAAGUGAUGGAACUGGUGGGGAAAGUUAAGUCAUGUGCUUGAGUGACAGGGAUUAAGGUGGCUGUCUACAAGCAUGGCUUAUUUGUAAUUCUGCACCUUUUUUUUUUUUUUUUCCGCUUUUGGUUACCCUGCAGCAUAUGGAGUUACCCGGCCAGGGAUCAGAUCCAAGCCGAGGUCAUGACCUCAGCUGCAGCUGCAGCAAUGCCAGAUCCUUAACCCACUGUACCCGGCUGAGGAUCGAACCUGUGACCCAGGUCUCCCAAGACGCUGCCAAUCCUGUUGUGCCACAGCGGGAACUCCAAAAUUUGCAGUUUUAAAAAGACCAUUUCCAACUCCCAAACAUUAAGUUAGAUUUCAACUCAUAUCCCCCAAUAUUUUGUUUAUCUCAGGUUAAAAGUAAGGUGUAGUCUGGCUCAAAGUCUGCGUGACCUUACUUUAAUUAUUGUUGCAAGAUGCCAGACCAAGUUUAGAACAGAAGGAAGUCUAGAGAAAGAACACUUCUUAGUUAAGAUUUGACUUCUCCCAUCCCCUGCUAUAAAUAAUAAACUAAAGGGAGUUUCCA
This 1283-nucleotide long non-coding RNA is filed under the name Sus scrofa (pig). RNAcentral's name for it is "lncRNA (ENSSSCG00050013766.1)". Lineage: Eukaryota; Metazoa; Chordata; Mammalia; Artiodactyla; Suidae. The record is from RNAcentral.